Long non-coding RNA from Ornithorhynchus anatinus (platypus), 2840 nucleotides. RefSeq lists it as uncharacterized. The transcript has 3 exons. The record is from RefSeq and is a predicted model, not a curated record. Lineage: Eukaryota; Metazoa; Chordata; Mammalia; Monotremata; Ornithorhynchidae.
CAACAAAUAAGGGAGAGGACAUCCAUAAGGAAGGCCACGUGGUGGGAGGCACUUACCUUUUGUGGUCUGCUGAGAAGAAGAGAGAGAAUGCCAACAAGAUAACCAAGCAACUGCUUCUGUAUGGUCCACAUAAAUUACCCCAUACGAUGAUUUCCAGGCUUUACUUGGAAUUAAAGAAUUCACCUCUCAAGCUUUCAAACUGCAGUAACUCUACUGGGCUCUAAUUCGACAAUUGUUCCUGAAGAUGACGAGGACUCUGAGGCGAGGUGAAGCAAAGUCUCCAGGAAACCGGCCUGUAAAGAUCCUGCAGUUGUGUCACCACUAAACAGGUUCUCAUACGAAGACGACUUAACAACUUGUCUGAUUCUGACCACUUGCAUGCCAUCUGGAACUACUUCAGACCCUCAUUAUAGAAGAAGGAUGAAAAAUCGCUGCUAUGAGACUUUUUCGUGGUGUUCUCUGUGCAACUAUUAAAUACAGAGAUUAUAAACUCAGAGGUCUCUUCUUCUUGCAGCCACCCCACCAGGCUGGGUUUAUUUCCCCAGAAAUAGACGUGUAAUUAAUCCAAGGAGAUGAGUAGGUUAGGGUUCCCACAUCACAUCUCUGUGAACUCCUAAAAGAAAAUUUAGGAUAAUGUUCUGGUCAAAUAUUGGAAGGAGUUGUGUGGAGAGAUGAGUGAUGAGUGAGAAGAAAACCUUGGUGUGUUGUGAGGUGUAGAGUUGUUGACAGAGAGGUUGUGAGGAGAGACAUAUGGGCCAGGGAAAUCUCAUAUACCUCCAGUUUUUUCCCAGACAGCCUUGCCCUUAGUUCUUGACAGGAAGCAUUCUGAUUGGUUAUAAAGCCCUUGAGGCAUGUGCAGGACCAGCAUAAAUGCUGCAUUAAUAGAGUUAAAGAACAGCUUGAGGAAUUGCGAAUUCUAACUGCGCUCUACCAUUUGGUACAUUUAUUAUGAAGGGCUUUUUUUUUAAAUUCUGGAUCUGAUAUGACAUGUAAUUUGGCUCUCACCUGUCAUUUUUUUUCUACAACAGAGGGAUGUCAUACAUGAAAAUGUCAUUUGGUUUGUUUUUAGCCAUGAAAAAUAAAAAAAUAAGAAAAGUUAGAACUGAUGACAGAGUUUUCAUCAGAACAUAUAUCAUGUCCACUCUGUUGUUUGCACUAGUCAAUAAGAGUCAUUUGGUGAGGCUAAUAAAAAUGAGAAGAGAUGACCCAAGGGACUUUCAUAUUAAUGCAUCCGUUUGAGAUUUGACCAUGAGAGAAAAUUUACCACUAAGCAUGGAUUUUUAGACCAUUUUAGACUUCGCACAAGCACCUUGUUCAACAUCUUGAUCUACAGUUAACUUAUAUAAAUGGAAAAUAUAAUUUUUAAAUGUUGUAGGUUUGCAACAAAAAACGUUCCAGAUGUUUUGCAUCUUAGAAAGAAUAGUUUUCUUUUUCACAAAGUGGCUACUCUCAUGUGUACGCUUAUAGUUAAUUGCAUAACAAAAUAACUGAUUUCAGAGUUUAAAAAAAUCACCUUUGUCUCAAAUUAUCCAGAUUGGCAGUGUGCCAACCUGAAUUAACCAAAGUGUUGCCAAUCUUCCUCCUGCCUCUUUGGUUCAUUUUCUGCUGGGUAGACACAGCAAAAGGGCUCUCCCAUCUGCAAUACAAAAAUCAGUUAAAGUUCAAUAUUAUUUUAUGCUAAUCUCAGAGGGCACCUAAAAAAUCUGGCCAGCAUUACUGCAACAUUUUAAUUACUGGUGCUUACUACAAUUUGCAGUAAUUAUAGUUCAUUUAGUGAGCUGGUUCUUAAUUGCAGACACUGCUGAAGUAACAAUUGAAUAAAAAAUAAAAAGUACAAUUUCCACAUUUUUUUUCAUCUGAUAGAAGUGAUAUUGGCUUGGAAAGAAAUUGGAGGAGCUACCAUAUCCUGGACCACUUUCAAAGCUGUUGACCACUUGCAAAGCUUCCAGCCAAGAGUCGGGCUUUGAGAUUAAGCUACGCUGUGGUACAAGUCUUUUGUUUGUGAAAUAUUUCAUUUUAAAAUCUCCUCACACAUUCAUUGUAGCUCACAAGUUGCCGAUAGCUUGAUGAAAUAUUGAGAUUCUGUGGCCUAAACCAUUUUAAAACAUUUAGUCAAGGAAUGAAACUGUGCAUGAGGCAAAAUCAACCUUCCUAAAUGCUUUGUCACAGUGGUGCUUUCAAAUUGGUGGAUUAUUGAGGGGAGCUUUCUAUAAUGUAGAUUACUAAAUGGAUUAUUGGACAUAAGAUCCUCAUAUGUGCUCCUUUCUCACCUUGUACUUUCCAGUUCUUCUGCCCCAUAUACCUCUACCCCUACAUCUGAUUAAACGCAGCUGUGUUUAGGGGAGAAGGGAUAUACAUAGAAUACUGUUACCGGUCCCCACUGCCUCCCACUUUUUGAAUACUCUUUUCCACCCUUUACUUCCAGAAUCAUCCCCUCCAUUACAGGAUUCCUCUGUUAGAUACUUUAAAUCUGAGGGGCUUCCUAAAUCAGAGAAAUGCUCACUGGCCCUAAUUAAUUUCUAAAGAAAUUUGUUGAUCUCCAUGGAAACUGGGAUUAUGGAGAGUGAAAAAAAUUAUAAAGAACCUCUAUACCACAUACAGACAUAUUCUCAAAGACAAUUUAUUGAAGACCCUGUCUUGAACUCUUGGCGGUAUGUAGAUUACAGCUCAGAGAAUAUUAACUGAGUAAGGCCUAUGACAUAUCACCACUGUAUGGGUAUAUGCUAUUAUGUUUUGAGGAGGGGAUUAUCCUAACCACAAUCCAAAUUUACCAAACUAUAUACAAUUUUCAAACAAAUCAGAAACAGAGGCCUGGGAGUCAGAAUGACUCGGGUUCUAAU